UACGUAGGUGACAAGCGUUGUUCGGAAUCACUGGGCAUAAAGCGCACGUAGGCGGCGACGUAAGUUGGGUGUGAAAUCCUCGGCCCAACCGAGGAACUGCGCCCAGUACUGCGUUGCUUGAGGAUCCAAGGGGUGCAUGGAAUUCCCGGUGGAGCGGUGAAAUGCGUUGAUAUCGGGAGGAACUCCGGCGGCGAAGGCGGGUAGCUGGGCCGACACUGACGCUGAGGCGCGAAAGCCAGGGGAGCGAACGGG
Molecule: ribosomal RNA, 252 nt
Filed under: uncultured bacterium
Lineage: Bacteria
Description: partial 16S ribosomal RNA
Rfam family: Bacterial small subunit ribosomal RNA
Source: RNAcentral